Molecule: ribosomal RNA, 713 nt
Filed under: unidentified microorganism
Description: bacterial SSU rRNA
Rfam family: Bacterial small subunit ribosomal RNA
Source: RNAcentral
UACACAUGCAGUCGAACGAUGAACUCCAGCUUGCUGGGGGGAUUAGUGGCGAACGGGUGAGUAACACGUGAGUAACCUGCCCUUGACUCUGGGAUAAGCGUUGGAAACGACGUCUAAUACCGGAUACGACCAGCCCUGGCAUCGGGUGUUGGUGGAAAGAAUUUUGGUCAAGGAUGGACUCGCGGCCUAUCAGGUAGUUGGUGAGGUAAUGGCUCACCAAGCCUACGACGGGUAGCCGGCCUGAGAGGGUGACCGGCCACACUGGGACUGAGACACGGCCCAGACUCCUACGGGAGGCAGCAGUGGGGAAUAUUGCACAAUGGGCGAAAGCCUGAUGCAGCAACGCCGCGUGAGGGACGACGGCCUUCGGGUUGUAAACCUCUUUUAGCAGGGAAGAAGCGAAAGUGACGGUACCUGCAGAAAAAGCACCGGCUAACUACGUGCCAGCAGCCGCGGUAAUACGUAGGGUGCAAGCGUUGUCCGGAAUUAUUGGGCGUAAAGAGCUCGUAGGCGGUUUGUCGCGUCUGCUGUGAAAACCCGAGGCUCAACCUCGGGCCUGCAGUGGGUACGGGCAGACUAGAGUGCGGUAGGGGAGAUUGGAAUUCCUGGUGUAGCGGUGGAAUGCGCAGAUAUCAGGAGGAACACCGAUGGCGAAGGCAGAUCUCUGGGCCGUUACUGACGCUGAGGAGCGAAAGGGUGGGGAGCAAACAGGC